RNAcentral lists this ribosomal RNA (259 nucleotides) under uncultured Staphylococcus sp. RNAcentral's name for it is "partial 16S ribosomal RNA". It matches the Rfam family "Bacterial small subunit ribosomal RNA", at positions 103 to 355 of the family's 1533-position model. The record is from RNAcentral. Lineage: Bacteria; Bacillati; Bacillota; Bacilli; Caryophanales; Staphylococcaceae.
CGGGUGAGUAACACGUGGAUAACCUACCUAUAAGACUGGGAUAACUUCGGGAAACCGGAGCUAAUACCGGAUAAUAUUUUGAACCGCAUGGCUCAAAAGUGAAAGACGGUCUUGCUGUCACUUAUAGAUGGAUCCGCGCUGCAUUAGCUAGUUGGUAAGGUAACGGCUUACCAAGGCAACGAUGCAUAGCCGACCUGAGAGGGUGAUCGGCCACACUGGAACUGAGACACGGUCCAGACUCCUACGGGAGGCAGCAGUU